RNAcentral lists this ribosomal RNA (811 nucleotides) under uncultured bacterium. RNAcentral describes it as "bacterial SSU rRNA". It matches the Rfam family "Bacterial small subunit ribosomal RNA", at positions 1 to 783 of the family's 1533-position model. The record is from RNAcentral.
UAGAGUUUGAUCAUGGCUCAGGACGAACGCUGGCGGCGUGCCUAAUACAUGCAAGUCGAACGAACUCUGGUAUUGAUUGGUGCUUGCAUCAUGAUUUACAUUUGAGUGAGUGGCGAACUGGUGAGUAACACGUGGGAAACCUGCCCAUAAGCGGGGGAUAACACCUGGAGACAGAUGCUAAUACCGCAUAACAACUUGGACCGCAUGGUCCGAGCUUGAAAGAUGGCUUCGGCUAUCACUUUUGGAUGGUCCCGCGGCGUAUUAGCUAGAUGGUGGGGUAACGGCUCACCAUGGCAAUGAUACGUAGCCGACCUGAGAGGGUAAUCGGCCACAUUGGGACUGAGACACGGCCCAAACUCCUACGGGAGGCAGCAGUAGGGAAUCUUCCACAAUGGACGAAAGUCUGAUGGAGCAACGCCGCGUGAGUGAAGAAGGGUUUCGGCUCGUAAAACUCUGUUGUUAAAGAAGAACAUAUCUGAGAGUAACUGUUCAGGUAUUGACGGUAUUUAACCAGAAAGCCACGGCUAACUACGUGCCAGCAGCCGCGGUAAUACGUAGGUGGCAAGCGUUGUCCGGAUUUAUUGGGCGUAAAGCGAGCGCAGGCGGUUUUUUAAGUCUGAUGUGAAAGCCUUCGGCUCAACCGAAGAAGUGCAUCGGAAACUGGGAAACUUGAGUGCAGAAGAGGACAGUGGAACUCCAUGUGUAGCGGUGAAAUGCGUAGAUAUAUGGAAGAACACCAGUGGCGAAGGCGGCUGUCUGGUCUGUAACUGACGCUGAGGCUCGAAAGUAUGGGUAGCAAACAGGAUUAGAU